This 400-nucleotide unclassified non-coding RNA is filed under the name uncultured Planctomycetia bacterium. Its description in RNAcentral is "contains 16S-23S intergenic spacer region". Lineage: Bacteria; Pseudomonadati; Planctomycetota; Planctomycetia. The record is from RNAcentral.
UCCGGUUUGACACCGGCAGUCUCUCCAGAGUCCCCGACAUUACUCGCUGGCAACUGGAGACAGGGGUUUCGCUCGUUAUGGGACUUAACCCGACAUCUCACGACACGAGCUGACGACAGCCAUGCAGCACCUGUAGUAGGUUCCGGACUGGAUACCGUUGGGGGAACGUUUCCGCCCCCUACUCCCUACCGCUUUCGCACAUGUCAAGCCUGGGAUAAGGUUCUUCGCGUAGCCUCGAAUUAAGCCACAUGCUCCACCGCUUGUGUGAGCCCCCGUCAAUUCCUUUGAGUUUCAACCUUGCGGUCGUACUCCCCAGGCGGGGUACUUCCUGCGUUAGCGCCGGCACCCAGAGGGUCGCUCCCCCAGGCACCUAGUACCCAUCGUUUACGGCGUGGACUAC